CAAGACAGAGGCAGGACUGAGAAGACGAGAGGUGGGCUUCGUUCCUGAGAAUAUCCAGGAGUCCAAGAGAUCUAAAUUGGAAGAUGGCCUUCCAAUUUAGGUCAGUUUCCAAUUAAGAAGGCCAGGUUUUUAUGAAGCAAUAUUUGUCAAGGAUUCAACUAUCAACUUGCUGGUCCUCUACUUCCCGAAACUCUCCAGCCUACAUUUCUUCCUCUUCUUCGGUUUCUAAACUCAAACUGACUUUGGAAUGAAAGGGAGCAGCUGCUGAGGUAGGAAGGUCGGAGGUGGCCCUCCAAAAGCCUCUUUUCUGGAAGCUCCGCUGCCAAGGGCUCGACUGGAGUCCCAGGACAUAUUCAGAGGCCGCCAGACCCCUGCAUGGAGGCCCCUCCCUUGCAGCUCCUGGUUACCAUGAUUGAAUGAUGUCCUGCAGCUCCGAGCCUCAGCCACCUAUGUUGUCAAGGUUUCCUCUGUGAAAGCAUCCAAAAACUCUGCCAGCACCUUCUUCUUUCCUUUUUUGUUUUCCUACCAGGGCCAGGCCAGGCUCUGCUGGCCAUUUCCGAUUAAGCUCCUCAGAAGGCAUAGAGCCACUCACACUCAGAAUUAUUUAAAAUAACACUAGACUGCAAAUGCCCUAAAUAUCCAUCAGAAAUAAAUGGAUGCAUAACAUUGGGUGAAAGAAGCCAUACACAAACAUGGACAUUCACUUUUGCAGAUGAGGAAACAAGAAUUCAGAGUUGAUUUGCACAUACGAAGCAAAACAAGUGAGAUCCAAGCCUCCAGACUCUACAACAGAUGCUUCCAAUAUCUAUGUCUAAUGAAGUAAACU
Molecule: long non-coding RNA, 826 nt
Filed under: Homo sapiens (human)
Lineage: Eukaryota; Metazoa; Chordata; Mammalia; Primates; Hominidae
Description: HSALNT0081310
Source: RNAcentral